Long non-coding RNA from Manis pentadactyla (Chinese pangolin), 796 nucleotides. RefSeq lists it as uncharacterized. The transcript is spliced from 3 exons. The record is from RefSeq and is a predicted model, not a curated record. NCBI's taxonomy places the organism in Eukaryota, Metazoa, Chordata, Mammalia, Pholidota, Manidae.
UUCCUUCCUUUCUCCCUCCAUGUUCUCCCUACUGGCCUUUGCAUCUGUCAUUCUGGUAUAAUGUUAAUCUUACGUCCCUUUUUGUAGUCAUGAUAGCUAUAAAGUUGUCUUAAACUAACCUAGCUAAUAAGCAAAAAUGUUAGUACAGAGAAGAAGUUAAAAUGUCUAUCUAGCUUGUUUCUUGUUUAUUCUUUCUAAACAUUUGCCCUUUCAUUUUCUAGUGGCAUGGUCUUAUGAAAAAUAUCUAAAAUCAUUGCCUCUUGUUUUUUUUAUAGGUAUCCAAGGUGGAUAACUACUGUAGGCUCCUCUCUUCCAUUUGGUUCUCUGCAUGGAGGAUAAGGUGGGGUGAAAGUGUAGAGAAGGCAUGUAUAUAAGAUAAAGAAGGUGGUGGGAACACAAAGAAGGGCAUGAAUUCAAUGUAAUGAUUAGAAUUUUCUACACAUAAUUCUGUCUGUAAAGCAUUUGCAAGGCUCUUCAUAUCUGUCUCUCUGUUGUCAGAUACAGAAUUAAGUAUUCUAUGCCCACCUGGAUUGUUAAAGUGUAUGUGAUGGUAAAGGAAGUGAUCCCUGCCAACUUAUGCCUCAAAUGGGUUUGUUUAGUGCUGGGAGAAAACCAUGUGGCCACGCAUGUAAGAAAUAUAUUGGAUCUUCAAUAUUGUCCAGUGAAGUCAAAAGAAGAAAAGUCUCUCCCUCAGUCUGGGAAAUACUAGCAGUGGUGCUAAUGGUGUAGUGGAAGAGAAAAAGAAGAAGGAAGAGGAAGAGGAAGAGGAAGAGGAAGUCUAAGGAAGCUUUGCAAU